Molecule: ribosomal RNA, 442 nt
Filed under: uncultured bacterium
Lineage: Bacteria
Description: partial 16S ribosomal RNA
Rfam family: Bacterial small subunit ribosomal RNA
Source: RNAcentral
CCUACGGGAGGCAGCAGUGGGGAAUAUUGGGCAAUGGGCGCAAGCCUGACCCAGCAACGCCGCGUGAAGGAUGAAGGCUUUCGGGUUGUAAACUUCUUUUGUCAGGGAAGAGUAGAAGACGGUACCUGACGAAUAAGCUACGUCUAACUACGUGCCAGCAGCCGCGGUAAUACGUAGGUGGCAAGCGUUGUCCGGAUUUACUGGGUGUAAAGGGCGUGUAGUCGGGUUGACAAGUCAGAUGUGAAAUCCUGCGGCUUAACCGCGGAACUGCAUUUGAAACUGUUGAUCUUGAGUGCUGGAGGGGCAGACGGAAUUCCUGGUGUAGCGGUGAAAUGCGUAGAUAUUAGGAGGAACACCAGUGGCGAAGGCGAUCUGCUGGACAGCAACUGACGGUGAGGCGCGAAAGCGUGGGGAGCAAACAGGAUUAGAUACCCGGGUAGUC